AUUGAACGCUGGCGGCAGGCCUAACACAUGCAAGUCGAGCGGAUGAAGGGAGCUUGCUCCUGGAUUCAGCGGCGGACGGGUGAGUAAUGCCUAGGAAUCUGCCUGGUAGUGGGGGAUAACGUCCGGAAACGGGCGCUAAUACCGCAUACGUCCUGAGGGAGAAAGUGGGGGAUCUUCGGACCUCACGCUAUCAGAUGAGCCUAGGUCGGAUUAGCUAGUUGGUGGGGUAAAGGCCUACCAAGGCGACGAUCCGUAACUGGUCUGAGAGGAUGAUCAGUCACACUGGAACUGAGACACGGUCCAGACUCCUACGGGAGGCAGCAGUGGGGAAUAUUGGACAAUGGGCGAAAGCCUGAUCCAGCCAUGCCGCGUGUGUGAAGAAGGUCUUCGGAUUGUAAAGCACUUUAAGUUGGGAGGAAGGGCAGUAAGUUAAGACCUUGCUGUUUUGAUGUUACCAACAGAAUAAGCACCGGCUAACUUCGU
Molecule: ribosomal RNA, 483 nt
Filed under: uncultured bacterium
Lineage: Bacteria
Description: partial 16S ribosomal RNA
Rfam family: Bacterial small subunit ribosomal RNA
Source: RNAcentral